GUAGGUGGCAAGCGUUGUCCGGGAAUUAUUGGGGCGUAAAGCGCGCGCAGGCGGUUCUUUAAGUCUGAUGUGAAAGCCCACGGGCUCAACCGUGGAGGGUCACUGGAAACUGGAGAACUUGAGUACAGAAGAGGAAAGCGGAAUUCCACGUGUAGCGGUGAAAUGCGUAGAGAUGUGGAGGAACACCAGUGGCGAAGGCGGCUUUCUGGUCUGUAACUGACGCUGAGGCGCGAAAGCGUGGGGAGCAAACAGGAUUAGAUACCCUGGUAGUCCACGCCGUAAACGAUGAGUGCUAAGUGUUAGGGGGUUUCCGCCCCUUAGCGCUGCAGCUAACGCAUUAAGCACUCCGCCUGGGGAGUACGGCCGCAAAGGCUGA
This 376-nucleotide ribosomal RNA is filed under the name uncultured organism. RNAcentral describes it as "partial 16S ribosomal RNA". It matches the Rfam family "Bacterial small subunit ribosomal RNA", at positions 527 to 897 of the family's 1533-position model. The record is from RNAcentral.